This 591-nucleotide ribosomal RNA is filed under the name Natronomonas pharaonis. RNAcentral's name for it is "bacterial SSU rRNA". It matches the Rfam family "Archaeal small subunit ribosomal RNA", at positions 563 to 1151 of the family's 1478-position model. The record is from RNAcentral. Lineage: Archaea; Methanobacteriati; Methanobacteriota; Halobacteria; Halobacteriales; Natronomonadaceae.
CGAGUGGGCGUCCGGCGAAAACUGCUCGGCUUGGGACCGGAAGGUCCAAGGGGUACGUCCGGGGUAGGAGUGAAAUCCCGUAAUCCUGGACGGACCACCGAUGGCGAAAGCACCUUGGAAGGACGGAUCCGACAGUGAGGGACGAAAGCUAGGGUCUCGAACCGGAUUAGAUACCCGGGUAGUCCUAGCCGUAAACGAUGCUCGCUAGGUGUGGCGCAGGCUACGAGCCUGCGCUGUGCCGUAGGGAAGCCGUGAAGCGAGCCGCCUGGGAAGUACGUCUGCAAGGAUGAAACUUAAAGGAAUUGGCGGGGGAGCACUACAACCGGAGGAGCCUGCGGUUUAAUUGGACUCAACGCCGGACAUCUCACCAGCUCCGACAGCAGUAAUGACGGUCAGGUUGAUGACCUUACCCGACGCUGCUGAGAGGAGGUGCAUGGCCGCCGUCAGCUCGUACCGUGAGGCGUCCUGUUAAGUCAGGCAACGAGCGAGACCCGCACCUCUAGUUGCCAGCAGCAUCUUGCGAUGGCUGGGUACACUAGGGGGACUGCCGUCGCUAAGACGGAGGAAGGAACGGGCAACGGUAGGUCAGCA